AUGAGGAUAGUUUGGUGUCAUCGUCCCUUUUCCCCUUUUGUGUGUCUGCUUGUGACACCCAGUCAUAUGACCUUGGGGAUGACUUAUCUGUUCUCACCUUGCAUCAUGUUUAUUAUUAAUGUUUUAGAUAUGACUGGCAGGACGGUUCCUUAUUCCAUGACUACUUUGCCCCUCCUCCAGCAUCUUGAAAAAAUGAAUUGGCCAUGUGUGCUGAGAUGCCUUUUGUCGACUACAGUAACCUUGUGCAACCCCAUUACAAAAAGGCAAACCCUUUAGAAGCAAGUACAAUGUCAGGUCCUACAAUUAAAAAGGAAUCUGGCAAACUGAGAGCAGUUUCAAUGAUCGACUUAUGGAAAUCCCUGAGGAGAUGAAACUAAGAAACUGCAGGAGAUAUUCAUCCAGACACUAUCUUCUUAAAGCUGAGGUGAAGAAAGGGGGACAGCUUUAUUCCAGCUACUACAUUAUCCUUCCUGGCCCCAAGCCUCUGAAGUCCAGGUAACUUAAGAGCUGAGCCUCUAGGUAAAUGAGUAUUAUAUAUCACAGUUCCUAGCCCUGUGCCUUGCCACACUAGUUACUCAGCAAAACACGAGCUCCCUGUGGAAGUCAUACUCUAAGAUAACUCAGAACUAUUUCCAUUUCCUGGCAUUUAAGACAUGUGCAAUUCUCUCCCGUGCCCCCACCUUUAGUAUGGGCUGAUCUGCGAUCACUUCUAACAAACUGAAUUCAGCAAAAGUGAUGGAUUCACUUCCAUUAAUAGAUUGCUGAAGGAUCUUACUUGCCUUCAGCUAGCAGAUGCUCUUCCUUGCUGACUUUGACAGUGAGUCAUCAGGUUCUGCGCUACCUGUCCAAAGGCCUCCUUGACAAGGAAUUGAGGUUGGUCCCCAGGUCAAUGACUAACAAGGAACUAAGGUCCUUAGUCCAACAAGGUUCAGAAACUGAGUUCUUCUCAUAACUGGAACAGUUGACUCCUUCCCCUGUUGAGAUCUCAAAUUAUAUUCCAACCCUGAAGCCACAAUUGGACUGUAGUCUUAGAAGAGAUUCUAAGUCAGGAUUUCCCUGUGUCUAGAUUGCUGACCUACUGCAACUGUGAAAUAAUGAACAUGUAUCAUUUUAAGUUGUUAACUUUGUGAAUAAUUUAUUAUACAGUAAUAGUUAACCAAUACACACUCCCAAAAUAUGACACAUCCUGGCUUUUAAGCCCCCUUUUUUCUUUCUGGAGACCCCACAAAAACAGUUUGUCAAUCUUAUUACCAAGCCUGCACUUUCCACCGUCAUC
This 1276-nucleotide long non-coding RNA is filed under the name Oryctolagus cuniculus (rabbit). Its description in RNAcentral is "lncRNA (ENSOCUG00000030793.1)". The record is from RNAcentral. Lineage: Eukaryota; Metazoa; Chordata; Mammalia; Lagomorpha; Leporidae.